UCCGAGUUGACCCCGGCAGUCUCCCAUGAGUCCCCGGCAACACCCGCUGGCAACAUGGAACAAGGGUUGCGCUCGUUGCGGGACUUAACCCAACAUCUCACGACACGAGCUGACGACAGCCAUGCAGCACCUGUGCACGGGCUCCGAAGAGGGCCCUCCGUUUCUGAAGGGUUUCCCGUGUAUGUCAAGCCUAGGUAAGGUUCUUCGCGUUGCGUCGAAUUAAACCUCAUGCUCCACCGCUUGUGCGGGCCCCCGUCAAUUCCUUUGAGUUUCAGCCUUGCGGCCGUACUCCCCAGGCGGGGCACUUAUCGCGUUAGCUGCGACACGGAGAGGGUCGAUCCCCCCCGCGUCUAGUGCCCAUCGUUUACGGCGUGGACUAC
Molecule: unclassified non-coding RNA, 380 nt
Filed under: uncultured Gemmatimonadota bacterium
Lineage: Bacteria; Pseudomonadati; Gemmatimonadota
Description: uncultured Gemmatimonadetes bacterium contains 16S-23S intergenic spacer region
Source: RNAcentral